CAGUAGCCGCGGUAAUACGUAGGGGGCAAGCGUUAUCCGGAAUUACUGGGUGUAAAGGGAGCGUAGACGGUUAAACAAGUCUGAAGUGAAAUGCCGGGGCUCAACCCCGGAGCUGCUUUGGGAACUGUAGAACUGGAGUGUCGGAGGGGUAAGCGGAAUUCCCAGUGUAGCGGUGAAAUGCGUAGAUAUUGGGAGGAACACCGGCGGCGAAGGCGGCUUACUGGACGACAACUGACGUUGAGGCUCGAAGGCGUGGGUAGCAAACAGGAUUAGAUACCCGCGUAGUCCCUGUCUCUUAUAC
RNAcentral lists this ribosomal RNA (301 nucleotides) under uncultured bacterium. RNAcentral's name for it is "partial 16S ribosomal RNA". It matches the Rfam family "Bacterial small subunit ribosomal RNA", at positions 509 to 807 of the family's 1533-position model. The record is from RNAcentral.